RNAcentral lists this ribosomal RNA (806 nucleotides) under uncultured Pelagibacteraceae bacterium. RNAcentral's name for it is "bacterial SSU rRNA". It matches the Rfam family "Bacterial small subunit ribosomal RNA", at positions 35 to 889 of the family's 1533-position model. The record is from RNAcentral. Lineage: Bacteria; Pseudomonadati; Pseudomonadota; Alphaproteobacteria; Candidatus Pelagibacterales; Candidatus Pelagibacteraceae.
GCUGGCGGCACGCCUAAUACAUGCAAGUCGAACGGGGUAGCAAUACCUAGUGGCAGACGGGUGAGUAACAUGUGGGUACCUUCCCUUUGGUGAGGAAUAACACGAGGAAACUUGUGCUAAUACCUCAUAAGUCUUUACGGAGAAAGCUUUAUGCGCCAAUGGAUGGGCCCGCACUUGAUUAGUUAGUUGGCAGGGUAAUGGCCUACCAAGACUUUGAUCAAUAGCUGAUUUGAGAGGAUGAUCAGCCACAUUGGGACUGAGACACGGCCCAAACUCCUACGGGAGGCAGCAGUAGGGAAUCUUGCACAAUGGAGGAAACUCUGAUGCAGCGAUGCCGCGUGAGUGAAGAAGGCCCUUGGGUUGUAAAGCUCUUUCGUCGGGGAAGAAAAUGACUGUACCCGAAUAAGAAGGUCCGGCUAACUUCGUGCCAGCAGCCGCGGUAAUACGAAGGGACCUAGCGUAGUUCGGAAUUACUGGGCUUAAAGAGUUCGUAGGUGGUUAAAAAAGUUGGUGGUGAAAUCCCAGAGCUUAACUCUGGAACUGCCAUCAAAACUUUUUAGCUAGAGUUUGAUAGAGGAAAGCAGAAUUUCUAGUGUAGAGGUGAAAUUCGUAGAUAUUAGAAAGAAUACCAAUUGCGAAGGCAGCUUUCUGGAUCAAUACUGACACUGAGGAACGAAAGCAUGGGUAGCGAAGAGGAUUAGAUACCCUCGUAGUCCAUGCCGUAAACGAUGUGUGUUAGAUGUUGGAAAUUUAUUUUCAGUAUCGCAGCGAAAGCGUUAAACACACCGCCUGGGGAGUACGACCGC